RNAcentral lists this ribosomal RNA (253 nucleotides) under uncultured bacterium. Its description in RNAcentral is "partial 16S ribosomal RNA". It matches the Rfam family "Bacterial small subunit ribosomal RNA", at positions 524 to 776 of the family's 1533-position model. The record is from RNAcentral.
UACGGGGGGGGCAAGCGUUAUUCGGAAUUAUUGGGCGUAAAGGGCGCGUAGGCGGUUGAAUAAGUCAGAUGUGAAAGCCCUUGGCUUAACCAAGGAAGUGCAUUUGAUACUAUUUGACUUGAGUAUGGGAGAGGGAAGUGGAAUUCCUGGUGUAGAGGUGAAAUUCGUAGAUAUCAGGGGGAACACCGGUGGCGAAAGUGACUUCCGGGACCAAUACUGACUUUGAGGCGCGAAGGCGUGGGGAGCAAACAGG